RNAcentral lists this ribosomal RNA (468 nucleotides) under uncultured bacterium. RNAcentral describes it as "partial 16S ribosomal RNA". It matches the Rfam family "Bacterial small subunit ribosomal RNA", at positions 28 to 507 of the family's 1533-position model. The record is from RNAcentral.
GACGAACGCUGGCGGCGUGCUCAACACAUGCAAGUCGAACGGAAAGGCCCUGCUUAUGUGGGGUGCUCGAGUGGCGAACGGGUGAGUAACACGUGAGUAACCUGCCUUUGACAUUGGGAUAACUUCAGGAAAAUGGGGCUACUACCUGAUAGGCGCUCCAGCUGCAUGGUGGGGGUUGGCAAGUUUCGGCGGUUGGGGAUGGACUCGCGGCCUAUCAGACUGUAGGGGUGGUAGUGGCUUACCAAGGCUGAGACGGGUAGGCGGCCGGAGAGGGUGACCGGCGACAUAGGGAAUGGGCAAACGCCCAGACUGCUACGGGAUGCAGCAGUGGAGGAGAUUGCGCAUGAGACGGAAGCAGGAUGCAGUAACGCCGCGUGCGCGAUGAUGGCCUUCGGGGUGUAGACCGCUUGCGCCUGUGACGAAGCGUGUGUGACGUGAAUGGGUAGAGAAGCACCUGGUAGCUACGUG